This is a long non-coding RNA of Xyrauchen texanus (razorback sucker), 539 nucleotides long. RefSeq lists it as uncharacterized. The record is from RefSeq and is a predicted model, not a curated record. Lineage: Eukaryota; Metazoa; Chordata; Actinopteri; Cypriniformes; Catostomidae. The transcript is spliced from 3 exons.
GAAUCAUUCUGUGCUGUGCGAUCACAGAUGUCUUGUUACCCUUGUAUCCCUUGUAGAAGAUCAAAUGCUGUUUUGCCAAUUCCAAAGAUUCUUUAGUGAGAACCAGAGAUGGGUAGAGGGGAAGGCUCAGUGGUUGAGCAUCGCUGCUGCGCUGGGACCUGCUCUGUUUAAGUACAUCCAAGACUGCUGGAGAGACCAUGCCCAGCACAUUGCUCAAGACCUCCUUCGUGAAGGCCACAUCUUCCGAGGCAGAGUUCUGACUCCACGCCACCAUCACCUGUGGAGAGGGGGUGUGUUCAAAGUGUCUUUAAAGCAAGUUGCUUUACUCUGCAACCAUCUUCGUAAUGCCCCCAGACAGCUACAGUAGGAAUUAGUCAUACAAGUCAUCUCCUUAAAUGAGGAAAGACUGAAAUCUCCAAAACCGAUUUCAAUUUCAAUUGCGUAUGUUUAAUCAGCAAGAAUAUUUGACAACGAUGUUACCACAACGAUUGCUGCUUUUAGCUCAACACACACACACACACACACACACACACACACAC